UUGAAAGGGAAACGAUUGAAGUCAGUCGUACCAGCGGGAAAUCAACCUUUCGAGUUGGGUUUUGGAGUUUUGAAGAGUGUCAAAACCUUUUGAGAUUUCAAAAUAUUCGCUCUUUUGGUGUACUUUCUCGUGGGUAGGUUAACAUCGAUUUCGAUCAUCAUAAAAGGAUUGGAGGAAUGUAGCUUCGAUCUUGUAUUGAAGUGUUAUAGCCUUUGGUAAAUGUGAUGAUUGGGAUCGAGGAUUGCAACGAAUACCCUUUUGGGCUAUCCGCCUGAUCUCUGAUACGUGGCCUUGGCAUCGAAAGCUUGCUUAUGGUAUCAAGGUAUUACGGUCAAAAGGUUAGAACGGAUUACAUUCGUUAAGGAUGUUGACGUA
RNAcentral lists this ribosomal RNA (375 nucleotides) under uncultured Glomeromycotina. Its description in RNAcentral is "LSU rRNA". The record is from RNAcentral. Lineage: Eukaryota; Fungi; Glomeromycota.